GGCACCAAGUCUCCUUUCCCCCCCCCUUUUCUCUCUCGUUUUCUCUUACACCUCGUUCUUCUUGCAGUUAUUCAUCUUGGGAACAAAAGCUAAGUGUUUGGCUGUGACUGAGAUCAAGGCCCUGCUUCUUCCUCCCAGGAAAAGCUGCUGCCGAGGCUGGGGAGGCUUCAGCCCAGUGCCUCCCGGCUCCCAUCGACUGCAAGUCCCCUGGGAGGCAGCUGACUGGCACCCAGACUGCCAGCCAGAUGAUGGAUCCUACCGGGAGAAUCAGACGUGACAGGGGGAGGUGAGGCUGCUGCAGUGGCCACCACUGAACCUGAGGACGAGGGGCAGAUGCGGUCAGCUGCCUCAGUUCACAUUCUCCAUCUGGACCUGAAGUAUUUCGUUAGCUGCCUGCUGAAUGUUACAUUUUAUUUUGAAAGCUGACAAAAUAUCAGCAGUGUUUGACUUUUAAUGUUUGUCAUGUCUGCUGCUGGACCUUCCCAAAACUGUGAAACAUGCCAAAUGACACAUGUUGAGGUUGAGAAUACCAAAUUGAGUUAAAAAUAGGUCAUCAAUUUUUAGAUAUUUUAGAUAUAUUUGAAGUUAGCUCCUCAGUAACCUUUCACAUAACUGAUUACCAUUAACUGGUAACUGAAUUCCAUUAAACAAAAUCUGUAAAGAGAGCAUGUUUAAAACCUUUUAUUGAGCUCGGGAUAUUGUUUUGUCAUUUCUGGCAUGACCAGCUUAAUCUUGUGAUACCAGCUGGAUGAACGCGUGUAUCUUGCCCCGCGGCAUCCUGCUGUGCCAUUGCUUCAACCAGACACUGUGAUGGUAAGUGACUGCUGUAAUUGUUCUGCUCCCAGCUCUUCUACUUCAGCCAUCCAACUGGCUCCAUCCUCUUGGUUGUGCCACAUUGCCCUCUUGGGCCUUCUUGGCAUCAGCCCCCAGUCCUUUAGCUCAGAGAUCUGAUAUACAGUGAUUCUACAGUUCAAUACCAUAUCAACACCAAGAAGAUUAAAAAGCAUACACAAUUAAAAAUAAAUAGGACUCUACACUUGCUGAUGUGUUUGAUGUUGUAAAUAGUUUUCAAGGUUUUUUUUUUUCCUGCAUCGCCAAAUAUAAUUUAUUAUUACAAUAUACAAACACACGUACCUCUUGUGGUAUGUUUUGUGGUAUGCAGAUGAAGGUUUUUGUAGGCACUGAUAUAACUGAUGUAAAUAGAUUUGUGUUUCUGCUUCUCAGAGCAUUUGUUUCUGUCUGUUUCCAGAAAUAAUCUUAAUUUUAUUGCUAUUUUACCUCAAUAGAAUUUGUUUCAGUGACAGCUAUUCACAUUACAGUCUACACUUUGUGCUUUGGAUAUCGCGAAGAUAAGAGCCAAACCACAUGGCCAUAAAAGAUGAAUUUGGGAAAAUGUGUGUCACGCGACCAAAUGGGUUGUUGUUUUUUUUAUGAUUACUGUUGAGAUAUUAAAAAAUAAAAGGUUGGAAAACAGAUAAGUAAUGUUGACAGCCGUAUAUGUGUUAA
Solea senegalensis (Senegalese sole) is the source of this 1506-nucleotide long non-coding RNA. RefSeq lists it as uncharacterized. The transcript has 3 exons. The record is from RefSeq and is a predicted model, not a curated record. NCBI's taxonomy places the organism in Eukaryota, Metazoa, Chordata, Actinopteri, Pleuronectiformes, Soleidae.